Molecule: ribosomal RNA, 119 nt
Filed under: Aegilops tauschii subsp. strangulata
Lineage: Eukaryota; Viridiplantae; Streptophyta; Magnoliopsida; Poales; Poaceae
Source: RNAcentral
GGAUGCGAUCAUACCAGCACUAAAGCACCAGAUCCCAUCAGAACUUCGAAGUUAAGCGUGCUUGGCCGAGAGUAGUACUAGGAUGGGUGACCUCCUGGGAAGUCCUCGUGUUGCAUUCC